UCAUCUUCGGGGGUAGAGCACUGUUUCGGCUAGGGGGUCAUCCCGACUUACCAACCCGAUGCAAACUACGAAUACCGAAGAAUGUUAUCACGGGAGACACACGGCGGGUGCUAACGUCCGUCGUGAAGAGGGAAACAACCCAGACCGCCAGCUAAGGUCCCAAAGUCAUGGUUAAGUGGGAAACGAUGUGGGAAGGCACAGACAGCCAGGAUGUUGGCUUAGAAGCAGCCAUCAUUUAAAGAAAGCGUAAUAGCUCACUGGUCGAGUCGGCCUGCGCGGAAGAUGUAACGGGGCUAAACCAUGCACCGAAGCUGCGGCAGCGACACUAUGUGUUGUUGGGUAGGGGAGCGUUCUGUAAGCCUGCGAAGGUGUGCUGUGAGGCAUGCUGGAGGUAUCAGAAGUGCGAAUGCUGACAUAAGUAACGAUAAAGCGGGUGAAAAGCCCGCUCGCCGGAAGACCAAGGGUUCCUGUCCAACGUUAAUCGGGGCAGGGUGAGUCGACCCCUAAGGCGAGGCCGAAAGGCGUAGUCGAUGGGAAACAGGUUAAUAUUCCUGUACUUGGUGUUACUGCGAAGGGGGGACGGAGAAGGCUAUGUUAGCCGGGCGACGGUUGUCCCGGUUUAAGCAUGUAGGCUGGUU
RNAcentral lists this ribosomal RNA (638 nucleotides) under Klebsiella pneumoniae. Its description in RNAcentral is "bacterial LSU rRNA". It matches the Rfam family "Bacterial large subunit ribosomal RNA", at positions 890 to 1530 of the family's 2925-position model. Lineage: Bacteria; Pseudomonadati; Pseudomonadota; Gammaproteobacteria; Enterobacterales; Enterobacteriaceae. The record is from RNAcentral. RNAcentral also lists the same sequence under 2 other names.